GUAAUGAUAUAUAUUUUUGAAAUGAAAAUGGUUGACCUUGCCUCAAGCAAUUAAUUCAUCAUUCAAGACGAGAAUUAAGAUUUCCAAAAAUUACAUGCUUUGCAUUUUGUUAAUUUUUUUUUUUUUUAAUGAUAGGUUGGAAUUUAUAAACAUUUAUAAAUUAUAGGGUUGGGAUUCAGUGUAACUUAAACAUUGUGAACAAUGAAGUUUAAACUGUGUAAUUAUUGUCGUAGUGUGAAGAAAUUGGGAAAUGAAUGUCUCUUUUGUUCUUAAUGGGCUUAAAAAGAGAGAUCAAUGUUAAACUUCUUGUUGUACGCUUAUGUUUUUGCUAGUUUGACAUUCUAGCACUCAGGGUUGAGCUUUCUCUGACUAUAUAAAAAUGAUAUACAUAAUCAAAGAAGUACUUAAUGUUCUGAGAUUUAAGAUGAAAGUAUCUUAAGAUGAUGUAGGUUCAAUGUUUAUAAUCAUCUAUGUUCAUGGUGUCUAUGUUUGUUUAAGCAUAUUUGCUGCUGUUUUAUUGUUUUAUAAAUAUAGGAGUUGGUAAUACAUUUGUGAUUUCUUGAUUUAAUAGAAAACAGAGGUGGCAGCUGUUUUGUCUCUUGCUUUGGUUUUGCUAGUCAAUAAUAUGCCUUUUGCUUACAGGAAUUCAGCCACAAUCAGUCAUAUUUUUCUAUCAUGGAAAACCCUUGAAACAUCCAAUCUGGAGUGCUAAUCUAUUUCUAAUUCAAGGAGCACCAAAAAUCUCCAUAGUCACCUUAUUAGUUUACUAGAAACUGCACCUAGUUUUAAUUUUUUUCCCAACAAAUUUAUGUUAAAUACUAAUCCUUUACAUGAAAAGAUUGAAACCUAACAGUACUUUCAUCAAGCAUAAUCCUAGCACAUGUUUGUUAGAAAGGUAAUUUGAAUGUGAUUCUUGAAAUGAGAUUCCAUUUCCUAUUCAGUACACUAAAUGAAUCCUAUGUUAAAUACUAAUCCUUUACAUGAAAAGAUUGAAACCUAACAGUACUUUCAUCAAGCAAAAUCCUAGCUCAUGUUUGUUUUGGCUAAGAAAGGUAAAUUGAAUGUGAUUCUUGAAAUGGGAUUCCAUUUCCUAUUCAGUACACUAAAUGAAUCCUAAUUGCCACAAAAUUUUCAUUUUUUCAUACAUUGAAUUAAUGUUAAAUGUCACAAACUCAAAUAUAUUUUUUAACAUUGUCAUUGGAUUUUACUAAAUUAUCUAAAAUAUAAAUUGAAAUUGGAUUUUGGGAAAAGGAUAUCUAGAUCACAUCCAAUAUCUUAUGUAGUUUCUUUGCAAGGUGAACCAAACAUGUUGUCACAUAUUAUAGGAAGAAGUAUAGGAAAAAUGUUAAGGGAAUGUAAUGGGAUAGAAAUAUAAGAAUAUUACUGUUAUAAAUAACAAACUACCAACUGGUAGAGCUGUGUAUAGGUAAAGUAGGAGUUAGUUACUACCUGGGACCCUAUAAAUCCCAGUAUAUCCCAUUGUAAAGGCGUUGUGAAUCAUAUAUACAAUACACUAUUGCCUUCUCCCUUAUUUCUUACUCUAAUUCUCUCUUAUUCUCUCAUCCUCAUUGUUCUUCUUCUUUUCUCAUUUGUCUCUCCAUUCACCCCUGUUAGAGAAUCAUCUCUAAUCUUAUAAAGCACUAAAGUUUUCUUAUUCCUAAUCUUCUUGUUGUUGAAGUUCGAUGUGCUACUGGAGAUUCCAUCUGCACAUGCUCUGAAUAUGGAAGGUCCUUUGAUUAGGAGAUGAGAUGCUUUUCAAGGGGAAUCCUUUUAUUUUUCUCAAAAUAUUUUCAUGGAAAUUUCAAGUUGAGUGUUUUUAUUUGUGAGUUGCUAAUUAUAGUAUGGAAAUAGGUUUCAUUGAUAUUUGGGAAUUUAAUGAGUUAACCUGUUGGAUAAGGUUGUGGGGCAUGAAAGAAAGGGCUGAGACCAAUAACAAAAGAUUCAGGGUGUAUGACCUUGAUUAUGUAGUCAACACUUAGCAUUUUGCUUAGAGAGUUUCAUAAGGCAUCUUUCGUUGGGGGGCUUCAUAAUUAGUACACGGGUAAACUGAGUUGCAUCCCCAAGAGGCUAAAAUGCACAAGUGGAAGUGGUAAUGCUUAACAUGCCAAGAAACAAGAACUGGAAGCAAAAUUGGUACAACAAGAAGUGUAUCAAUCAAACCUCCAAUCAACUUUUCUCUAGAGGUCGUAAAAAACGCAAGAUACGAGCUGCUUUCACCAUUGUUAAUUUGUUAUGAAAACUAAAUUUGUAUAGAUAUGUGCUUGAUUAUAGGUUUGAUCUUAGGCUUAAUAGCUUGAUUUUAGGCUUAGUCUAGGAAUUCACCUUCCUUCUUUAGCUAGGACUCUUGUAUAUAAAUAUGUACUAAAAUUCAAAGUUCACAUGGUAUCAAAGCCUUUAAUUCUUUGAGGCUUGGGCAAUAUUCACGAGUAUUGUUCAUUGAUGCAUGUCUUUUCCUUGCAACGUCGCUGCUGCACCUAGUUCUUCUGUUUUGCCUUUGCCUUGUGAUUGCAUACCUGUGUGCUGUUUUGGCGUCUUUGUCUUCAUGGUGCUUUGGGGUUUUUGGUUCUAUGACUUUCUGAUAUGCCUUCAAUGCUGUUAUGGUUCUUGGUGCUUUAUUUAAGGAGAUUAGUAGUUAGCGGCUUUGAUUCUGACUAUGGCUCAGUAAAAGAUUUCUAUUAGAUUCUUUUAUCUUGUCAGAUGGUAGUCACGCAUGAGAAAAUUAUUUUAGUAUCUGCAAACGAAUUUCCUCAGUUCUCUCGAUAUAAACAAUUGUUAAGGUUCACCAAUUCCUGUCAUUACUAUCAGUAAAUUAGGUACACCCACCUCUUCUCUUGUCUUUACUCUUACACAGCUUAUUGAUGCUAUAGAUUAUAUGACAGGUAAUUUGAGUCUUUAUCUGCUUUUCAAUCUCAUACAACCUCUCCUCUAUUAUUUUAGCUGAUGAUCUACCUCUUGUGUUGUUAGUUCUAGGAUUACAAACCCUACACCGUCUGCCUCUUUAUCAUCUGUUUUAUAUUUGCUGCAUCUUUCUUUUAAUUUGCUUUUUAUGAGUAAACUUACUAAUUGUUAUCUCAUUCUUUCUUGGUCAUUGUGUUUUUAGGAUCUUUUCUAUGAAGUAUAUUAUUGGUCAUGGUCGUGAGUCUAGAUUUCUCUAUGUUGUAGACCAAUAAGGUCUCUUGUAUAUUCUAAUAUCUCAACUCUUUUUGAAAUUUAUUAUCGAUUAGGACAUGCUUCCCUAUUUGUCUUAAAGAAAUUGUGUCCUCAGUUGCAAUCAUUGUCAACUUUAGAAUGUGAGU
Molecule: long non-coding RNA, 3296 nt
Filed under: Manihot esculenta (cassava)
Lineage: Eukaryota; Viridiplantae; Streptophyta; Magnoliopsida; Malpighiales; Euphorbiaceae
Description: long non-coding RNA (MESC_LNC001214)
Source: RNAcentral